GAUGAACGCUGGCGGCGUGCUUAACACAUGCAAGUCGAACGAUGAAGCCCAGCUUGCUGGGUGGAUUAGUGGCGAACGGGUGAGUAACACGUGAGUAACCUGCCCUUGACUCUGGGAUAAGCCUGGGAAACUGGGUCUAAUACUGGAUAUGACUUCUCAUCGCAUGGUGGGGGGUGGAAAGAUUUAUUGGUCUUGGAUGGACUCGCGGCCUAUCAGCUUGUUGGUGAGGUAAUGGCUCACCAAGGCGACGACGGGUAGCCGGCCUGAGAGGGUGACCGGCCACACUGGGACUGAGACACGGCCCAGACUCCUACGGGAGGAAGCAGUGGGGAAUAUUGCACAAUGGGCGCAAGCCUGAUGCAGCGACGCCGCGUGAGGGAUGACGGCCUUCGGGUUGUAAACCUCUUUCAGUAGGGAAGAAGCGAGAGUGACGGUACCUGCAGAAGAAGCGCCGGCUAACUACGUG
This 466-nucleotide ribosomal RNA is filed under the name uncultured bacterium. Its description in RNAcentral is "partial 16S ribosomal RNA". It matches the Rfam family "Bacterial small subunit ribosomal RNA", at positions 28 to 507 of the family's 1533-position model. The record is from RNAcentral.